UCUUGAAAGUAAAUAGACCUGAGUACUAUGAAUAAUUAAAUUUAAAACUCAAAGGACUUGGCGGUGUCUUAGACCAUUUAGGGGAACCUGUCUCUUAAUCGAUAAUCCGCGUUAUACCUGACCUUUUUUUGUAAACAGUUUGUAUACCGUUGUCGUCAGGUAACUUUUUAGAAAAUUGAAGUUAGCAAUAUAAAUUUUAUUUAAUACGUCAAAUCAAGGUGCAGCUAAUAAAAAGGGGAGGAUGGGUUACAAUUAUUAUUUAUAAUUACGGAAGGAGGACUUAAAAGUAAAUUAGAUAUGAAUAAUUUGAAUGAGGCUCUGAGACGUGU
Molecule: ribosomal RNA, 329 nt
Filed under: Hastula raphanula
Lineage: Eukaryota; Metazoa; Mollusca; Gastropoda; Neogastropoda; Terebridae
Description: Duplicaria raphanula partial 12S ribosomal RNA
Rfam family: Bacterial small subunit ribosomal RNA
Source: RNAcentral